Molecule: ribosomal RNA, 256 nt
Filed under: uncultured bacterium
Lineage: Bacteria
Description: partial 16S ribosomal RNA
Rfam family: Bacterial small subunit ribosomal RNA
Source: RNAcentral
UACGUAGGGUCCAAGCGUUAUCCGGAAUUACUGGGCGUAAAGCGUGUGUAGGCGGGAGUUUAAGUGCAAUGCGAAAUCUUGUGGCUCAACCAUAUAGACUGUAUUGCAUACUGGACACCUUGAGGAUGGCAGAGGCAAGUGGAAUUUGUAGUGUAGCAGUGAAAUGCGUAGAUAUUACAAGGAACACCAAUGGCGAAGGCAGCUUGCUGGGCCAUAUCUGACGCUGGAGAACACGAAAGCGUGGGGAGCGAACAGG